GGCGUGUGGACACACACCAUCUCCUACCAAGCGCAGUGCAGACUGGCGCAUUACUCUACAGCGGCAGUGGUUGUUCAUGAAACAAUUAAGCUAUUGUAAAGGUGAACAAAUAGAAAAUGCAACACGCCACUCACAUCCAAAGAGACGAGAUGCGGCUGAAAGAAUUUGUCAUUGCGGUCUGAGACGGAGGAGAAGGUCUACAUGACUGGAGAUGUCUCUGAACGUAAGAGGU
This is a long non-coding RNA of Bufo gargarizans (Asiatic toad), 232 nucleotides long. RefSeq lists it as uncharacterized. NCBI's taxonomy places the organism in Eukaryota, Metazoa, Chordata, Amphibia, Anura, Bufonidae. The transcript is spliced from 3 exons. The record is from RefSeq and is a predicted model, not a curated record.